CCUGACCUCCACUCUCCAACUCUGUGCACUAUAAGAAAAUAGGAAAAGUAGUUUUUAUUAACUACUGGCCCUUGCUUCUAUCUCAAUUUAAACACUAGUCAAAGAAUGUAACAAAACCAUAACAAAAAAAAACUUUCAACAACGGAUCUCUUGGCUCUCGCAUCGAUGAAGAACGCAGCGAAAUGUGAUAAGUAAUGUGAAUUGCAGAAUUCAGUGAAUCAUCGAAUCUUUGAACGCACCUUGCGCUCUCUGGUAUUCCGGAGAGCAUGCCUGUUUGAGUGUCAUGAACUCUUCAACCCACCGGUUCCUAGUGAAUCGAGUUGGUGUUUGGAUUUUGAGCGUUGCAGACUUUUAUUAGUCUGCUCGUUCGUAAUACAUUAGCAUCUCAAUUUCGAACCUCGGAUUGACUCAGCGUAAUAGACUAUUCGCUGAGGACACUUUAGCAAUAAGGUGGCCGAAUUGUAGAUAAGAGUGGAAGCUUCCAACCCUUCUAGUCAAAUUUUUAGAUUAGACCUCAGAUCAGGCAGGAUUACCCGCUGAACUUAAGCAUAUCAAUAAGCGGAGGAAAAGAAACUAACAAGGAUUCCCCUAGUAACGGCGAGUGAAGCGGGAAGAGCUCAAAUUUGUAAUCUGGCACCUUUGGUGUCCGAGUUGUAAUCUCGAGAAGUGUUUUCCGCG
Molecule: ribosomal RNA, 678 nt
Filed under: uncultured fungus
Lineage: Eukaryota; Fungi
Description: eukaryotic LSU rRNA
Rfam family: 5.8S ribosomal RNA (bases 131-284)
Source: RNAcentral